UUAAAAAAGAAACUAGGGCCACACUCUGAGGGAAAUGACGGCCUCAGUUUGUUGAAGUCUGAGUGAAGAAACAUCUCCUGCUCUGAUCGUGGAUCAGCUGCUUCAGCUGCAGGUGGAGGUCUACAGGAACUGACCUCAGAUCAGCUACGGGUGGAGGUAUACAAGAACUGACCUCAGAUCAGCUGCAGGUGGAGGUCUACAGGAACUGACCUCAGAUCAGCUUCAGGUGGAGGUAUACAAGAACUGACCUCAGAUCAGCUGCAGGUGGAGGUCUACUGGAACUGACCUCAGAUCAGCUGCAGGUGGAGGUCUACAGGAACUGACAUCAGAUCAGCUGCAGGUGGAGGUAUACAAGAACUGACCUCAGAUUAGCUGCAGGUGGAGGUAUACAAGAACUGACCACAGAUCAGCUGCAGGUGGAGGUCUACAGGAACUGACCUCAGAUCAGCUACAGGUGAAGGUCUACAGGAACUGACCUCAGAUCAGCUGCAGGUGGAGGUCUACAAGAACUGACCUUAGAUCAGCUACAGGUAAAGGUCUUACAGACUGAGACCACACGGGGGCAGCACAGUGUCAUGAUGCUCUCCAAGCAAACAGUCUUCACACGUGAAAACCAGGACAAUCGCUGAUUUUUAAAGAUGCGACAGAGUUUCCAGUGUUUGGUUCUGCUACAGCGUCUUUGUCCCACAGUUUGGAAUAAAGACGCUGGUUUAUCUGAAGAUCCACCGACGAUACGCCACAUGUCCAACGUCUCUGUCUCUGUGUCUGUCUCCAACACUGUGGGGGACAAAGGAGGAGCGAGGACAGAGAGAGGAGGAGCGAGCGAUGAAGAAGACAUUUAAA
Molecule: long non-coding RNA, 843 nt
Organism: Solea senegalensis (Senegalese sole)
Lineage: Eukaryota; Metazoa; Chordata; Actinopteri; Pleuronectiformes; Soleidae
Exons: 4
Source: RefSeq, a predicted model, not a curated record